UUACAGCUUAGUGAAAUGUGACUCCUUAGAGCAGCAAAACUGAACACACACACAUAACACAGAGACGCAAAACUUCUUAUCAUUGAACAACGUAAUGAAGAAUAAGAAUAAUGGCCUGCAGAAAGGUCUGCCUCCAGCAUUCCAAAGGAGUUAAUAUGUUACCUGUGUAAUAGACUAGCUCAUCCCAGCCAGGUUUGUGCCACGCAGCAUUCCUUAUAUCUUCUCUGGUCUGGAGAUCUUUGUAAGCUGGCAAGAGACAACAGCGAGCACAAAGCUUCCUGAUCUUGCUCUCCGUACCACGUGUUCCAAGUCCCCACCAGUGCACAUGGGUAGUGUUUUUCUUCAUGAAUCUUUGGCAGCACCUCUUGACUUGAAAACAAGGAAUACAGACACUAUGUUGCAUUUCCUUCAGGGAGGCUACAGUUGAUAUGUAUAACAAAUCACCACACGUUUAUCAUUAUGGUACGAAAAUUCACAAGCUCUACGUUUCAGAAGAGAAAGCUGAAAUACAAGAAUCUGCUUUGCGAGGGGAAAGAUAGCUACAGGUCUACAUAAAAAUAAGGUGAGUGCUACUAUUUCUUACUGUAUGACAAAUGCACACCAUGGUAGAACACUCUGGAUGCAAUGAAUUACGUGAUAACACCUGGGUUAUCCAACACAUUAGGGAAACAAACAGCAGGAUGUCUCACAGGAAGCACAGCCUAGCUACACGGGUGAUUUGCUUUAGGAAAACGUUUUCUUCAUCAACACAAUACACAACAGUAGAAAAGGACAGGCUUUCUUCUUUACCAGCAACAAUGUUAUUAAUAAAAAUUAAUUAAUUAAAUUGAUUAAUAAAAACAAGUGUUUUGAUUGACCAAAUGAAGGCUGUGCUCAAUACUAUGCUGCCUUACUGCUUCCUCCAAGGCUUCAGAAAGCAGAUCUAGUUUGAGGCAACUUAUCAGUGAAGCACGUGAUGAAACUGCCAUGAAAACACGACUAACACCAAAUUUCUGUUUGACUAUUUUCAGUAAAGGCAGUGCUUCUUCAAACUUUAAAAGGUGACUUACAUUAACAUUGGGAAAUUAAGUUUUCCUGACAGCUAACUUGGUUAAGUCAGCUUUCACUGCAUGAACACUGAUGAAUGUCUAUUGGGCUGGUUGAACUUUGCCUUUUAAUAUUUUCCCCUGAAUAAUUACUACUCUUACCCUGCAGCCAACAGGCAGUAUUUCUGCAAGGUAUCAAGUAAUAGCAAGUAGGCUGGUCUUGUCCUGACACACAAUCAGAAUAUGCAAGUCUUCCUCUUGGUUCUACCACUGACUUUCUUGAUGACCCACAACAAACUUCAUCACCAAUUUAUAUUUCAGUAUUUCUCAUUACAGUGGAAAUUAUACAACAGAAAACUUUCCAGUGAUGUUUGCAGUCACUAUCAGUUUGGUUUUGCAAAGCAUAACAAGAUCCUAGAGAGGCAGCUUUAAGCAGGAACGUUAAAUUAUUACUACAGUAACCACUAAAGGUAUUUUUCCAAAAUAUAUUAAAAAAAGACACGGUAUGAUGUCAUUCACAGACUUGAAAACCAUCUUUUUCCUUUUAAAAAUAACUUACAACUUCUUCAGAAGGAGAUCCUUACCCACAGUGAUUCAUGAAGUGUUCUCCUAAUUGCCUUCGUUAUGUUCUUCCUUUAUGAACACAUGCUGACUAAUCUUUCUAAGGAAUUUGCUUGUUCAUGCUUAAUUUAGGGGGAGGAAGAAGGGAAGUUCAGAAGCGCCUUCAUUUCUUAAUUUCUGCCUUCUCAAGUUUCCUCCUUCCCUUCAAUACUUCAACUAUCCUUAGUUUGGAAAGAAGACAUUUAACCCCACAUACUUCAUCUGGCUGCUAUCAGCAGUUUCCUUCUUUGUUAUCAUUUCUUUCCUUGAGAAUAAAAGCCUCUGCUUUCAUGCUACAUCUAGGUAGCUCACGCGAUACACAGAGAAGUGGCUCUCUGCCUCAUAUAAUUGGAUGUGUUUAUAUUAAGCUUUUAAACAGAAAGAGGGCUGAAUGCUAGUCAUGCCUCUCUGUAUAUGUAUUUUUUAGGUUAAAGUUUUAGGUUAAAGGUAAAUAUACCUUCUGUCAUAAAGUAACUGUACAAUAAGGAAAACAGGUUUGGGUUAUCUAGACCCAUUUCAAAGCUUAAUAUGGCUAAGUUAGACAAUGUUGGACAAAGAACUCCUAACAGAGUUGAGGACAUAAAUGAGGAGGUGUGAACUUCCUUACUCUCCAGCCCAACUCAUGUCCCAGUCAAUCCACCACUGCUAAAACCUGGUACCUCUGUACUGAGAAUGUUUUAUUGCACUGACAACGUGAUCAAGGACAGUGGGAAACCCUGCUGUUUCCAAACAUGGGAGCUCUACUAUAUUUCCAAUUUAUACAUUCAGUAUUGGCAUCAUGUAUGCAGGACAGGGCUAAUAUUUCUCUAAUUUGGUUCCUGAAUCAGUACAUUUUAAACAUUACUCUUCAUGCAUUUUAGAAAGCUGUGACUUUCUGGAUAACUAAUGAGAGCACUGCUCUCUCUGGAGGUUAUCAUCCCAACACACAGAUCCUAUCCAAAGCCUGCUUAGCUCUUUAAAGUACAUCUCUCAGUAAUGUAACUUUGUAGAAAGAAGACAGAGAUGAACUGAGGAAGAAUCAAAUCAUGCAUUUUCAAAAUCUCCUCCAAACUAUACUUCAACACUGGCAUGCAGCUUUACUUACCAGUGAUCUCUCCCUUUCCUUCCUAUAUGAAGACAAUAAUACCUGCCAGCAAGUUCCUACAUGGCAGGAGUUGGGGGGGCAUACUAGCAUGUAAGGAUCUAAUUGCUAUUGUAAAGCUAAGGGUGGGAAGGAAGCUAUUCCAACAAACUUCACCUGUGUUUGCACAAAAGGCAUCACCCUGAACUGCAGAUUAAGAAAUGACACUUCCAAAAGGGAAAGUAAGGGGUGAUCUGAGUCAAGUACCUUUUGCCAUCUUUCUCCAAGAAUAACAACAUCUAUUUACCAUCAUACCCUGAAAGCAAAAGCUGAAUUCGUCCACCUCCCCACAAAUAUUUAUUGCAUUUGCCAAUUUUUAGAAUGCUUAUGGUCAAAUCAACAUGUCUGAGAUGUGAAAACAUAACACGCACACUUACCAAAGCUUGUUGUAGGCCUCUAGGCAUUCUGGUUUUACAUUGUGAACUGAAACAACAACAGUAGAUGAGAAAUGCAGGAAUGGAACAGAGAAACUGUAACGUUAAACAUAAGAAUAACACUCACUCUGUAGUUUAUACAGACUGCUGGUCUCUCUUUUGGCUAGAAGGUUGGAGUGAGCAUCUUUCCUUGGAUCGACUUUGCGAACAAAUAGCGAUUUUAACCAACUGUCUUCACGAGGUCUGCUAGCUGAAGAUACCAUCCCCCUACAUAUCAACAAGUACAUUACACUGUCACUGAGCACGUCUUGAAAAUGCCCAUAAUGCAGGGAAGACGGGCACGAUCAAGUAUAAUACAAACAAAAUUAAAACAGUUACAUCCAACUCUGCUCCUCAGUCUUUCCACUGAGCCACUUGGCAGCAAGGUAAAGGCAGCUCUUUUCACAGUGGGAAAAAUUACCUCCUCACAAACCAUUUUAUGUGAUACAGAGCUGAACACUUAACCAUGCACUCUCUACUCUCAUUCUUUGUAAGCAAAUGGGUAAGAAAUGGGUAGUUGGCUGCCUUUGUUGUCUUUUUAUAUUCUUUCUAAUGAAGCAUAUUUACCCAAUGUCUGUCUUGAUGUAUACAGGAGUGAAAAAGAGCAAGAAAUAGCAUAAGGAAAGAUUUGUACAGUGUAAAUAGGAAAGUAAGUGCCAUAUGUUCCUAUGUUUGCUUAAAUACAGCUCUGGAAAGGAAAAGUUAAGUGACACAUCUAUUGUAUUUAACUGAACCUUUAUGCCCCCAAUCUUGAAUGUUCUUUCUUCUUCCUCAAAAGAAGCACUUCCUUCACUUUACCCUUUUGAUACAGAGUUUUUGCUGAAAUACUGAACUAUUUCUCUGAAAUACUAAGAAAGUGGCAGCACAUUUUCUAUCUCAGAAGCCAACUUUAUACCCUGCACCACUAUGAGAUCCAGAUGACAGGUUUCGAUCUUCAGGUACAAAUCUCUCUUCCAGUAUCAAAACUUCCUGACAAUUCCUCAAAGAAAAAAAAAAAAAAGGAGAAGAAAAUAUCAACUUCUUUUGGUGGAAAAAAAAUCUCAGAGAACACAGUUGUUUGUAUUGCAGAAAAGCAAUUCACACCAGCAGCACUCCUCAACAAUCAGCAUUUGAAAACUAAUGAACUGGGAUACCCUGUGGAAGCGGAUGAACUGAGAAGUAUUUUAUAGCAGAGAAAUAGUAAGUACCAAAACAACCACAGCCAAGACAAUCUUCAAUGCUAAGAAGUAAUUGGUAAGUAUUUUGUUUUAUUUAUUGAAGACGGUCCUUUAUUUGACCUUAGAAAAUCAUACAAGCACAUUCCUGCGCGGUCAUUCCUGAGUACAAGCAUUCAAAAGGGCAUUCCAUGAUAUAGCUGCUGCCAGAGGAGGGUGGUGCAGAAGAAGAGGUUUCACUGAUCUCAACUGAGGGAGGAGAGAGGCACAGCACAGCUGUUUUAUACCUGCACCAGGUGCCACAGGAAGGCACCAUGCCCCACCUGAGGCCACGCUGGAGAGCCCACCCAAUAAAGGCAUGCUCUUUUAGAGCUCCUGUACAGUAAGCACUGUUACUCACUGGACACAAAACUGGGCUCCUGGGGGUGGGACUCCAUUUCAGCCCUGCAGUGCUUGUUCUUUCAUCUAAAGGGAGAUCUGUGCAGUACUGACAUAUUCUCCUCCAAUUACUAAAUGCAAUUAGCAAACUAAUAUUCAGAGCAUUCUUCUGUGAGGAAUGAAAUAAGUACUUCAGAUGUUUAUGCAAUCUUUUACUCAGGACUUGUAAAGUUCCUUGUCAACAAUGACUAAUAAAUCACAACUAGCCAUCUAAA
Molecule: long non-coding RNA, 4965 nt
Organism: Centrocercus urophasianus (Greater sage-grouse)
Lineage: Eukaryota; Metazoa; Chordata; Aves; Galliformes; Phasianidae
Exons: 2
Source: RefSeq, a predicted model, not a curated record